Long non-coding RNA from Homo sapiens (human), 949 nucleotides. Ensembl annotates it as SLC12A2 divergent transcript. Its record names the gene SLC12A2-DT. NCBI's taxonomy places the organism in Eukaryota, Metazoa, Chordata, Mammalia, Primates, Hominidae. The record is from Ensembl.
GUGGUACCCGAGGCCGGGCCGGAGCCGCAGGCCAGCCGCGAUUCCUUCGGGCGAUGCUGGGGGCUUUCCGGUCGGGGCCGCAGCCGCUUCCGGAGCCGCGGGCGAGGUGCGUUCCCCAGCCUGGUUUGCUCUGGGCUCUGACCCGCCGCCGCGAAUCUCCGCUCGUAACUCCGGGCCUGAACCUGGAGGAGGGAGGAUUUCCUCUGUGCAGCUUUCGAGCGGUAGACUCACCCUGCCAGGCAGACCUAGAUUGGCAUAACCAGAGAUCAGUUCCAGUUGUGAUGCAGUGGGUGUCUACACACUUCUGAUGACACCUUUAUUUUAAAAGCUGAUGUUCCAAGUCGAUUCACCAUGAUCUUGGCUGGCUGUCUUCUUCCUUCAUGGCUGCUAGUAAUGACAAUUCAGUGGCUGUUUCUUCAGCUGUGCAAAGUUGGAACAUGUUUGGGAGUUCAACGGCAUUGGUUUCUGGUGCAAGCGGUCUUCUCUGUCUUCUUUAUGGCCAGUAAAAUUCUCCAGAAGAGAUUUAUGGCAGCCUCACUCCCAGUAGUUUCUGCAUUUAGUGAGAUAAGGAAUGGAUUUUCUUCUGUGUAUUGCUGACACGAACAGGAGACGGAAAUACUGAGUAGAAGAGGGCGGUUCCCUGGCUAAGGCCCCACCCUCAAGCCUGGAUACCCGCGGCCCUAAAUGAGAAGAGGCGUUUCUGUUUGGGGCCCAAAAAGUUGCUUUUUGACCCACCACGCCCCCUAUCCUGCCCCCAUAUAAACCCCAAACCCCAACCUCCAGAGCAUACCAGCAGGUGAGGAGAUACGAGGCAAGCCGACUGACGGCAAAACGACGUAGCAGAGAAAGAGAGAAGAGGAGGGACGUCUGGACACCGAGAGAUGUUUGGCUCGGGGCAGUCAGAGCGGAGUCCAGCCCCUGGGCGGCCCAACUCCAGGGGAAGAUCACC